AUUCCAGCUCCAAUAGCGUAUACUAAAGUUGUUGCAGUUAAAAAGCUCGUAGUUGAAUUUCUGGUCGUGGCGAUCGGUCCGCCCCUCACGGGGUGUGCACCUGGUCUCUACGUCCAUCCUCGGGGAGAGCGCGUCUGGCAUUCAGUUGUCGGGCGCGGGAUCCUCGUCAUUUACUGUGAGCAAAAUAGAGUGUUCAAAGCAGGCUUAGGCCGUUGAAUACAUUAGCAUGGAAUAAUAAGAUAGGACCUUGGUCUAUUUUGUUGGUUUGCAUUCCAAGGUAAUGAUUAAUAGGGAUAGUUGGGGGUAUUCAUAUUUAAUUGUCAGAGGUGAAAUUCUUGGAUUUAUGAAAGAUGAACUCAUGCGAAAGCAUUUACCAAGGAUGUUUUCAUCG
This 391-nucleotide ribosomal RNA is filed under the name Chrysophyceae sp. RNAcentral describes it as "partial small subunit ribosomal RNA". It matches the Rfam family "Eukaryotic small subunit ribosomal RNA", at positions 582 to 975 of the family's 1831-position model. The record is from RNAcentral. Lineage: Eukaryota; Chrysophyceae.